RNAcentral lists this long non-coding RNA (648 nucleotides) under Gallus gallus (chicken). Its description in RNAcentral is "long non-coding RNA NONGGAT008381". The record is from RNAcentral. Lineage: Eukaryota; Metazoa; Chordata; Aves; Galliformes; Phasianidae.
CUGCGCGUGAGGGGAGGGGCUGAGCGGAAUGGCGCGCGGCGGGCUGAGGGAGCGGCCGUAUCGAUUUUGUGGUGUUUUGCGCGCUGAGUCGAAAUAAAAGUAAAUCCUCUGAAUAUUCAGAUGUCCAUUUCCCGAAUACCAGCACCCGAUUCCUGAUCGAGACUAACCCCCACGUCAGGUACCAUUGUGCUGAAGGGUAAUGGGGCCGUGAGCUGCCAGCUGUGAUCAGACCCUGCACACCCAUCCCACCCCAGGAGAAAGCACCGUGGGCACCACUCAUGCCACUGUGCCACAUCCAUGGGUGACCUCAAGUCCCAUGGUGCCCAGCCUGAACCGUGGCAAAGCCCUGGGUUCAAAGCUCCCUGGGUGCUUUCCCUGGAAAAAACAAGGAGCAAACACCCCAGUAUGCCUCUGUGUGCUUGCAGCUAUGGAUACAUAUGUUCUAUACAGAGUUACGUCCUUUUGGCACCUGGGAUUCCUGCCAUCGCUGCAAUAUGAGCUCUGUCUGAAACUGCAUCCUCAGCCGUGCUGCCUCCACUGCCCUGCGUGUAGGCUCUAAAGGGACAAAAGAAUAGCUUUGUAUCAGUCUCCCUCAAUUAAAUGUAAAGUACAUCUGGACAGAGCCUGAAGAUCCAUCUUUCACUGGCA